UACAGAGGGUGCGAGCGUUGUCCGGAAUCAUUGGGCGUAAAGAGCGUGUAGGCGGCCACUUAAGUCCUGCGUGAAAUCUUGCGGCUCAACCGCAAGCGGUCGUGGGAAACUGGGUGGCUAGAGUCCGGAAGAGGCGAGUGGAAUUCCUGGUGUAGCGGUGAAAUGCGCAGAUAUCAGGAGGAACACCGAUGGCGAAGGCAGCUCGCUGGGACGGUACUGACGCUGAGGCGCGAAAGCGUGGGGAGCAAACAGG
This 253-nucleotide ribosomal RNA is filed under the name uncultured bacterium. Its description in RNAcentral is "partial 16S ribosomal RNA". It matches the Rfam family "Bacterial small subunit ribosomal RNA", at positions 524 to 776 of the family's 1533-position model. The record is from RNAcentral.